Molecule: ribosomal RNA, 432 nt
Filed under: uncultured bacterium
Lineage: Bacteria
Description: partial 16S ribosomal RNA
Rfam family: Bacterial small subunit ribosomal RNA
Source: RNAcentral
CCUACGGGAGGCAGCAGUGGGGAAUUGUUCGCAAUGGGCGCAAGCCUGACGACGCAACGCCGCGUGGAGGAUGAAGGUCUUCGGAUUGUAAACUCCUGUUGCCCGGGACGCGGUACCGGGUGAGGAAGCCCCGGCUAACUCUGUGCCAGCAGCCGCGGUAAUACAGAGGGGGCAAGCGUUGUUCGGAAUUACUGGGCGUAAAGGGCGCGUAGGCGGCCUGUUAAGUCGAACGUGAAAUCCCUGGGCUCAACCCAGGAACUGCGUCCGAUACUGGCAGGCUUGAAUCCGGGAGAGGGAUGUGGAAUUCCAGGUGUAGCGGUGAAAUGCGUAGAUAUCUGGAGGAACACCGGUGGCGAAGGCGGCAUCCUGGACCGGAUUGACGCUGAGGCGCGAAAGCCAGGGGAGCAAACGGGAUUAGAUACCCUUGUAGUC